This is a non-coding RNA of Oncorhynchus mykiss (rainbow trout), 795 nucleotides long. NCBI's taxonomy places the organism in Eukaryota, Metazoa, Chordata, Actinopteri, Salmoniformes, Salmonidae. The record is from RefSeq and is a predicted model, not a curated record.
CCUACGCUACAAUAGUGAGCAACGACAGCCAAUCAACCUUAGCCAAGACACUGAGGCUUUGUCAUGCUUGUUGCUGGUUACUUUAAUGUUUUUUGGGGGUUUUUUUUUAGAGGGUUGCGCCGGACCCUGCAAGUGCAUGUUAUGCCAUGGCCUGAAACCAAGGAGGUGGGCUGAGUGCUGACAGAGAACGAAAAAACAGAUACUCUGUCUUUCUCAAACAUCUUCAAGGUCUCUGGGGAGGAAUAAAUGCCCCUGAGUAGGUGAUGGCUUUAGGGAGACAACUCUGGAGCUGUACAGGGUCCACAGAGCAGUGCACUCGAGAGGGGUAUCUGCACUCGCUGUUCCUUUUUCCUAUGCAUAUACCGCUUUGAGAUCUAGCUUUAAAGAGGCAUAGGGCAUGGGAAAAUGGGGCUGCAGAGGUAUUUCACCGACCAAACUACCCCUGGUUGUUCAACUACCACAGCCCUGAGUUCUCCCUGUUUCCCCAUUUUGGACCUCGAUCGACCUCAACAAGACCACACCCUGAACUCAGUGGAGAGACCAUACCUCGUAAGGAGAGACUGGAUUUUACAAUGUCCUGAUGGCUCCUUAUUUUAUUUAUGAUAAUGCAUAAUGCAUGAUGAUAAUGUACAUUUUGUAGCUGUCCAAGCUGUUGCUGUAUUGCUGACUUUUGAUAUUGAUUCAUGUUUUGCAGUGUUUGUUGUCCACCUAGUGGGUGGAAUUGUCUGUCUGUUGUUGUUCAGUAACAAAGUGUGUAAAACAUUUUUUUUUAAAUAAACAUUAAUGAUCUUCAAA